Molecule: ribosomal RNA, 377 nt
Filed under: uncultured bacterium
Lineage: Bacteria
Description: bacterial SSU rRNA
Rfam family: Bacterial small subunit ribosomal RNA
Source: RNAcentral
UAUUGGACAAUGGGAGCAACCCUGACCCAGCCAUGCCGCGUGAGUGAUGAAGGCCUUCGGGUUGUAAAGCUCUUUUGGCGGGGACGAUGAUGACGGUACCCGCAGAAUAAGCCCCGGCUAACUUCGUGCCAGCAGCCGCGGUAAGACGAAGGGGGCUAGCGUUGUUCGGAAUUACUGGGCGUAAAGCGCGUGUAGGCGGUUUGCCAAGUUGGGUGUGAAAGCCUUGGGCUUAACCCAAGAAAUGCACUCAGUACUGGCAGACUAGAGGACCGGAGAGGAUAGUGGAAUUCCCAGUGUAGUGGUGAAAUACGUAGAGAUUGGGAAGAACACCAGUGGCGAAGGCGGCUAUCUGGACGGUUUCGACGCUAAGACGCGAA